RNAcentral lists this ribosomal RNA (492 nucleotides) under uncultured bacterium. RNAcentral describes it as "partial 16S ribosomal RNA". It matches the Rfam family "Bacterial small subunit ribosomal RNA", at positions 29 to 507 of the family's 1533-position model. The record is from RNAcentral.
AGUGAACGCUGGCGGUAGGCCUAACACAUGCAAGUCGAACGGCAGCACAGUAAGAGCUUGCUCUUACGGGUGGCGAGUGGCGGACGGGUGAGGAAUACAUCGGAAUCUACUUUUUCGUGGGGGAUAACGUAGGGAAACUUACGCUAAUACCGCAUACGACCUACGGGUGAAAGCAGGGGAUCUUCGGACCUUGCGCGAUUGAAUGAGCCGAUGUCGGAUUAGCUAGUUGGCGGGGCAAAGGCCCACCAAGGCGACGAUCCGUAGCUGGUCUGAGAGGAUGAUCGGCCACACUGGAACUAAGACACGGUCCAGACUCCUACGGGAGGCAGCAGUGGGGAAUAUUGGACAAUGGGCGCAAGCCUGAUCCAGCCAUACCGCGUGGGUGAAGAAGGCCUUCGGGUUGUAAAGCCCUUUUGUUGGGAAAGAAAAGCAGCAGGUUAAUACCCCGCUGUUCUGACGGUACCCAAAGAAUAAGCACCGGCUAACUUCGUG